RNAcentral lists this ribosomal RNA (484 nucleotides) under uncultured bacterium. RNAcentral's name for it is "partial 16S ribosomal RNA". It matches the Rfam family "Bacterial small subunit ribosomal RNA", at positions 30 to 507 of the family's 1533-position model. The record is from RNAcentral.
AUUGAACGCUGGCGGCAGGCCUAACACAUGCAAGUCGAGCGGAUGAAGGGAGCUUGCUCCUGGAUUCAGCGGCGGACGGGUGAGUAAUGCCUAGGAAUCUGCCUGGUAGUGGGGGAUAACGUCCGGAAACGGGCGCUAAUACCGCAUACGUCCUGAGGGAGAAAGUGGGGGAUCUUCGGACCUCACGCUAUCAGAUGAGCCUAGGUCGGAUUAGCUAGUUGGUGGGGUAAAGGCCUACCAAGUCGACGAUCCGUAACUGGUCUGAGAGGAUGAUCAGUCACACUGGAACUGAGACACGGUCCAGACUCCUACGGGAGGCAGCAGUGGGGAAUAUUGGACAGUGGGCGAAAGCCUGAUCCAGCCAUGCCGCGUGUGUGAAGAAGGUCUUCGGAUUGUAAAGCACUUUAAGUUGGGAGGAAGGGCAGUAAGUUAAUACCUUGCUGUUUUGACGUUACCAACAGAAUAAGCACCGGCUAACUUCGUG